Molecule: long non-coding RNA, 6197 nt
Organism: Ailuropoda melanoleuca (giant panda)
Lineage: Eukaryota; Metazoa; Chordata; Mammalia; Carnivora; Ursidae
Exons: 10
Source: RefSeq, a predicted model, not a curated record
CUACCUAUCAGCCAACUCUUCAGCCAUCCAUCCACCCAUCUGUCAUGUCUGUCUGUCAUCUUUCUGUCCAUCCAUCUGUUCAUAUCCAUGCAUCCAUCCAGCCAUCCAUCCAUCCGUUAAAUCUGAACAGCUCUCUCAGCUCCUUGCACAGAAAGUGAUUACACCACUCCUCUGCAGAAGAAUGACUCAGAGCCAAAGUAUUAAUCUUCCCACAAAGGUCUAACAAACAUUUUCUGAACUCAUCCCAAUUUUAGAUCACCCUGAGGAUUUCUGGAGAACUGACUCAGGCGGGCUUGGAAGGACAGAGAGCUUGCAUAUUCCAUCUCGCUUUCACGUAUAACACAGUUGGCUUUAAAAUAUGUUUUCACAGGAAUAUAGAGCCAUUUUUUAACUCAGCAUUUUCUUACUUAUUUUCCCCAAGUGAAAGAUUUCAUGCUUUGAUGACCUUGUCUAAAUGUAAAAGCUUUAAUCAAAAUUGAUACGACAGUGUGGAGGAAGAGGAACCCUUUUAACUGAAGGUCGAAAUGCACACUGGUACAGCCACUCUGGAAAACAGCAUGGAGGGUCCUCAAAAAUUCAAAAUAGAACUACCGUAUGAUCCAGUAAUUCCACUUCUGGGAAUACAUCUAAAGGAAAUAACACUAACUUGAAGAGCUAUCUGUACACCUAUGUUCAAAGCAACAUUACUUAUAACAGCCAAGACAUGGAAACAACUUAAGCGUCUAUCGAUGGACGAAUGGAUAAAGAAGGUGUGGCAUAUAUAAAUCAAACCACAACAUAUAUAAAUCAAACCAUUAGGCUAUACACCUUAAACUUGCACAAUGAUACAUGUCAGUUAUUUCUCAAACUGGACAAAAAACUGAUACCACUAGAGAACUUUUUGUGAAUAAGACAUAGAUCAUUUUAUCAAAAACAGCACUGAAGCUCAUUUUGUUUUUAGUAGGAAGGUGUACUUUAAUAACCUGAAUUUAUCCAUGGCUUCAGAGUUUCAACAGUGAGAACAGGAAAUAUAUUCACUUUUAGAAGACGGGAUUGAAUGCUUCCAUCCGAUUGGUACGCCUUUGUGGUCUGUGGAGAAGAGGGGGUUUGACUGGAUGAUCUCUAAAGUCCCGUCGAGGUACGUAUUUUAAUAUUCUCAUUACAAAGAGCAAACGUAAUGUCCUGUAGACAGAACGGGCAAGUUGGACGAUCCACGAAAGGUGGAAAUGCAGCAUGUGGGCAGACCCUCGGUCCAAGUGUCUACGCAAGAUGUGGCUGUUCCAUGGGCUGAGUCAUGCAUGUGACUGGAUGUUGUUCAUUUGCAUCUCAAGGGCAUCUCCCAGGUGAUCUGAUGCAGCCGUUAUGGGGGUGGCAUGGAGGGGUGCCAUAGAUUGUGUGUGUCCCCCCAAAUUCAUAUGUUUUUGAUGCCUAAACCCCAGGUUGAUUCUGUUCCACAGUGGGGCCUUUGGGAGGACGUGAAGUCAUGAAGGUGGGACCCCCGUGAAUCAGAAUCGUGCCCUUAAAACAAGAGGUUGAAAGAAGUCGUUUUUCUCUCCCCGCUCUGUGAAGACACAGCAGUAAGACAGCGUGAUGAACCAGAAGACAGUCCUCGCCAGCCACCAAUCUUGCCCACACCUGGAUGUUGGACUUCCAGCUUCCCAAAAUGUGACGUUUUACAAGCCUUUCACGGAAUCAGUGUGUCUACAUGUGUGCCGAGCCAACAAACACAUUCUCGGAAGGGAAGGGGCAUUUGGCUGCACCUGGCUCUUCUCUCACCUGAGACGUGCAUGCACUUGGCUGAGAUGUGUAUGCAUUUGACCGAGAUGUGUAGACCUUACCAGAACCUUAUUUUAUUUGGAUUCUGGAUACAGGGACGCAGGUGGAAGCGAUGGCUGGAGCUUCAGCAUCCACCUUGAGCCACGAGUCAACCUUGAGGAUGGAAGUCAUGUGUUGGGGUGUGAGAGCAGAUAGAUAACAGGAGGGUUCCUGGGCAUCUUGAAGCCACCACACAGGCCCUGAUCCUUCCAAAUAUCGGAAGCUUUCAGGUUUGUUUUUAGUUUUGUCUGAGUCUGACGCUCAUCUGCUACUAAUUCUCUUAAGGAAAACUACCUGGUGAGUCUUGCAGAAACGUCUGGCUGUCACCGAGCACUGCUGACUUUCUAAACAUCAGGAUUUCAGUUUCCUACCACGGGCCUCCGGUUUGUUUGCUCUCGACGUCAAGCUACUCGCACAGGACUGUAAAUUCUUUGAGGAAACCAAACAUUCCUAUAGUUGAAUCCAGGACAGAAUUCGGUAAUUCGUCUGUUGUUCCCUCUGGCCAAGCCGGGAGCAGAUGAACGCGAGUGAGCCGUGUCGAGGUCACAAAUCUGUGUGUGCGCGUUAGCGGUGAGGACGGGAGGGGAGUAAAAUGACAAGCACCCUCCUCCUCUUCCCCACUCUCUGAGCGCAGAGAGUGUGAGAAAAUUAGCGCCUCCCCAACGUGUUCAAGAAAGUAAACUUGGAUUUCCUCACUGGCGGUCCUUCCUUAGCCCAGUUCCCAGCGCAGGAAGAGCACACGGCACCUGGUCCACCACGGCCCCAGAUGUUCGCUUCGUGACAUCUGCUUUAUGACAUUAAUUACUUGAUGACAUAAAGUCAUUACUUGAUAACAUAAAGCUCGUUGGUGGAGGUCACACAACGAGCUGUGAAAACUCCACAAGUGCGUAAAGAAUCCCCUUAAGAGCACAGCAACGGACUGGCGGUCAACUUGAGCUGUGAGUUUUAGCAAGGAGCACCCCCAUAGGUGUCUGCGUGCUGGAUGCAAGCCUCCAGAGGGCACUCGUUCCGAAUUUGCUUGGAACUCAGGGCAGCCCUUCCCCACCAGCAGAAUGGCAGUGAGGCUCUCCCUGCGGUGGUGUUCUCCCUACGUUCUGAACAAGAAACUUGCAAAUUUUAGAUCUCAGACUUUUUUUUUUUAAUUACUAAACUACUCUAUGACCCAGAGACCUUUGUGUGGUUUGAUGGGGCAUGAGGCAGGGGUUAAGAUGUCCAGAUGGAACAGUGACUGGAAUGACAGGCACAGCUCACCGCAAGAAGGGGGAGUGCGAGGGGUCCCCAGCAGAACCCAGGAAGCACAUGCCACAGAUGGUCCAGUGACAGGACCUUAUCCAAGGACGAGUGAAAGGUGGGGGCAGAGUCUGCCCACAGCAGGUCUGCCGACAUCACUCCCCGAGGCUGUUUCCAUUGUGGGGCAGAACGCGGGGAGGAUGACAGGGACGCAGGAGGCUUUUGAGAUGUAAGCUGCGGAGACAGGUCGGGGGGAACAAGGUGGCGGGUGGGAGACAGUGACAGGUUAAAGGGACCUGGUGGGGCGGAAGUGUGAAGUUGGAAGGGCCUGAGGGGACAGUGUGAGGUUGGAGGGACCUGGGGGGGACAGUGUGAGGUUGGAGGGACCUGAAGUAGGGACAGUGUGAGCUUGGAGGGGAGGGAUCUAGGAGGGUCAGUGUGAGAUUGGAGGGACCUGGGUGGGUUGUGGGGCUGGAGAGAUGCAGGAAGACAUGGUGUGUUUGGAGGGACCUGGCGAGGACAGGUGUGUUUGGUGGUCCCUUGGGGGGAGUGUGAGGCUGGGGGUUUGCAGCCUGUGGUGGGUGAGGUCCAGGACCCCUCGUCCCACCCUCAGAUGUGUGUCAGUCCCUGAGUCCCGGCCGUGCUGGAGUCUGCCUGCAAGGGCUUCCUGGAGAAUGGUCUGAAGCUUCAGUGUUUCGGGCACCAAGCAGAGCAGAAAAGGGAAAUGCAAGCAGACAUAAUUCUAUGGAAAAUAACCAGUAGACACCAGAAUGAAAGAUUGGAUUCGGUUUACACACGCACACACAUGCCUCCCGUGACAAAGGAAAAAGCAACCCUUCCCAUUGCUGGCAAAGAAAACUGAGUCGGGCUCCCUGGAGCCGUCACUUACAUUUAUGGCAGAGUCUGAAAAUGUCAGCGUGCCCUGGGCACCACUGUGACAUGGAGAGAUUUGUGUUCAUUCUCUUUCUCCUUCUGGAGUAGCUUUUCUCUCCUGGACGUGUGUCCGCUGACAGACACCUUUUCUGAUCCCCAGGACGUUCUGACCAACCCCUUCAUCCUUCCUCGCCAAGCUCAUGACCACUGUUCUUAAUCACGCACCCUGGGCAGAAAUCCCUGGAUUUGCUGAAAAUCUUAGCAAUAGAAUGCCUUCAAGUUGGGGGUUUCAGUUACCCCAAUAGGACCAGAGGGACAGUGUUUUUUAUUGUCUACAGGGAGUUGGCUGCCGGGGGCAAUGGCCUUAUUUGUCCUUUUGCAAUUUGCAACCCUUUCCUUGUUUUGCACCCAAAUGGUCCUGUCCUGGUCCCUCACCUAUCGAAUGCUUGGACCUUGAUGGUUUAUCUCAUCUCCGAAUGCACUCUCCUGGGGAGCAUGGGUGUAUAAAUUUUCAGGGGUAUUAGACUUCAGCUGAGUCACGCCAGCGCCUCGGUCACAGCCUGGGAUCUCAGAUGCCCCACGGGUUUUAAACCAGGCAAGAUGAGUCCCGUCUACUGCACGCUUUUCCUGGGAUUGUGGCCUUCCAUGUUCAUUCCAUGGGAGACAUCUCACCGUAAUUUAACACCUGUGAAUGACGCGUGUGCCUCCCUUUCAUCCCCAAACCGUCUUCCCUUCUCACCCCCAUAGGUCUCGAUAGACAGGAAGGCUGAAGCAUUUCCUGCAGGGCAGCCCUGUGUUUGCGCUCUUGGAAAUCACCGCACGCGUCCCGUGGUACGGUCCUGUCAAGACGUCUCCUUCUGCAGGACCUCAUGCCACCAAGGGACAAAUCCACCCUGCUCAUGAGUUCCUACUUCUUCCCCCUGUGAUUUCGUGAGCCCACGAAGACCCCAGAUGAACCGAAAUUCUGAUAUCCUGAAAUGGUGUACUGAGUGGAAUAUUGCAUACUGCCCAGUCUGUGAAGAGGAAAGAUUUAAACAUAAACGGCUCAUCUGACAGUGUGUGACCUGGUCUGAGGUCGUGCACUCAGUGGAAACCAGCCCUGCACUUGUGUGGAGGGAACCAGCGCGCCCAACGGAACUUCCCAAGUCAGAGACUCAAAGGCCAAUACAAGGCUUAACCAGCUCUGCUUGGGAAUUUCCAGAAUCGCGGAUGUCCAAGGCGGGCCAUCUGACAUUGUGAUGAUAUCCCAACGCAUUCCCUAGGACGGAACACAGCGCUCGCCGGAUUCUAAGCAUCACGUGAGAAAACAUCGUUCCCUCAUGUCGCCUGUGCUUACACCGGCGUUCUUGGCAACCUCAUCAGGACCUAACGGACGUGAUUUCACCGUGGGAGACAGCCCAGCCAUCAGAGCCCUGUGCCCAUGGCAGGUGGAAGGAAGUAAAAAAUGUUCUACCACCCCAACACCAAGGGUUAGAACAGCAAAUGGUGGUCACCGAGACCAGUGGGUUUGCAUGCAGUAAUCUCAUACAGUGGUCCUGAUGACCUAAAAUGAUCUUUUGCAUGCAAUGUCUCCUGAGACUUCACAAAGACACUGUAUUGUUCAAAUCCAGAAACUCUGCGGUUGGAACCAUGACUCAUGGCUCCAUUCCCCAAGGAGGCAUGCCAUCAUCUUCUGGGAUUCUGGAAGGAGAGUCCGUUCUAUGCUAGCAUGAGAUGAGUUUGUAUGCCUGCAACCUGCUUGGAUCAGGAGGGUCUUGCCACCGGCAGACAUCCCUUCCCUGGGCUCCCCAUGUACAGUGAGUGGAGAGUCCCCCCAUAAUGAAAUGCAAUGAUAUCUACUGGCAACGGCCCAACCUGGCGAUGGAUGAGGAAGCUUGGAACCAUUUGGAGAGGAAAUCCAUGACGCAUAUCUAUCUACCUCGAAACUUGCGGCUCACUAGAUAAUGUAAAAAGUCCUGCUAUGAACGAAAACCAAAUUCUGAAGAAUCCCUACGAGUGCCCUAUAUCUAAAUAGAUGAAUGAAACACAAGACUUGGGCUUCUCAGAGGAACCAGCAAGAAACGCCGAGAAGCAAAAAACGUUGACCAGUCGUGUUUGAAAAAUGAGCCAUGAGAGCUGUGCCCAACACCGUCUGUCAUUUGAGAUACACAAGAUUGCUCAAACUAAGUCAGCUGGCUGUUGGGCCCCUGGGGGGCUCAGUCGGUGAAGCAUCUGCCUUUGGCCCAGGUUAUGAUCUCAGCAUCCUGGGAUCGAGUCCCGCGUCAGGCUCCUGGCUCAGCGGGGAGUCAGCUUCUCCCUCU